GAUUUUAUCAAAGAUUUGCGUCAACAAUAACUUUGAAUGUUGGUGAUAGUUUUAACUCUUUAAAAGAAUUAGAAGAAGCGAUUAAGAACUAUGAAAUUGAAUUUAACGUUUCUCUAUACAAACGAGAGAGUAGAUCUAUUGCAUCUGCAAGGAAAAAAGGCAUUAAACGAACGUUAAAUGACGAUUUGUUAUUUUAUAGCAUGCAUUAUGCAUGCUAUCAUAUGCUAAAAUUUUAAAAGUAGAUCAAAAGGAAAGCGUCCAAAUCAAAGUGUAUUUCCAAGUACGAUGCUUUAUGAAAUCUUAAGCAAGUUCAAUGAAAUGAUGACAGUGGCUUAUCUCAGAGUUUAGGAAGAUCAUUAUUUGUUAAACUUGUCUAAUGACAAUAUUUAACUCUUAUCAGGAAAAAAACUACAAAACUUAAUAUAAGACAAAUUUGUUGAUAAGCUCGCAACAUUGUUUUCAGACGAUAAAUAAAUCUAAAUUUUAUUUGGAAAAGAAAUAGAAUGCAACAUUCAAAAAAUGACUUUUAGAUCAAGUCUGUAUAUCUGUCGAAAACCCAAUUGUAAAGUUAAAGCGAUGCAAUAGCCGAGCCCAUAUCUCAAUCUCUCUGAAUAUAUAUCUGUCAAAGAACGUUCUACAAAUAUGUGACAUUUUUUGUAUUUUUUUUGUUAAGGCUUUACCUGAAUAUUUGCUACCUAUAAUUUUUUUCAAAUAAAACUUUUAAUAAUUAUAUUGACUUUUUUUCGAAACUUUAUGUAAUAUAAUAUUGAAUUUAUAUUUUAAUAUAAUAUGAAGUCUAUCA
Long non-coding RNA from Hydra vulgaris (swiftwater hydra), 802 nucleotides. RefSeq lists it as uncharacterized. NCBI's taxonomy places the organism in Eukaryota, Metazoa, Cnidaria, Hydrozoa, Anthoathecata, Hydridae. The record is from RefSeq and is a predicted model, not a curated record.